This is an RNA transcript of Helianthus annuus (common sunflower), 2617 nucleotides long. RefSeq lists it as uncharacterized. The transcript is spliced from 7 exons. NCBI's taxonomy places the organism in Eukaryota, Viridiplantae, Streptophyta, Magnoliopsida, Asterales, Asteraceae. The record is from RefSeq and is a predicted model, not a curated record.
AGGGUUUCAGAUUUCUCAUCUCAUUCCUAUCCGCCUCCCUCUCUCUCUCUCUCUCUCUCUCUCUCUCUCUCUCUCUCGGCGAUUCAGAAACCCCAAGCUCUCUCUCGGCGAUUCGAUUCAGAAACCCCAAGCUCUCUCUCUCUCUCGGCGAUUCAGAAACCCCAAGCAUUCCUACCACUCGACAAUCGUCAGUAUUUUAGACAUGCGCUGGGUUCAUCAACGAUGGUGGCUGUGGGUGGAAGAUGAUGACGUUGGUUGGUGGCCAGAUUGGUACUAUCCUUACCAGAUCUACCUUUUUGUUUGGUAUUUGUGUAGUUUAUGUUUAUACGCUGUUAAAUUUCAUGUGUUAUAAGUUGUUUUAAACAGUUUCGCUACUGUUUUUGGAUGUAUUUAUGUUAGAUCUGCAUAAAAUUUUCAGAUCUGUGUUGGUUCUGGGUUUUUGUAAUGUUUUGUGAACUGAUAUUGUGAAUGGAGUGAUAAAAUGAAGGUUAUUGCUUCAUUUGAUGGGUGAAUAGCUGAAGCAUGAUUGAGAAAACAGUUUAAUGUAGAAUGUUGUAUGUUGUAUUUGGUUUACACAUCAGGUAUUAUGCUUCUUGUAUGUUGUUAAUUUAAACAUGUAAUGUGCUAAUGUGUUUUUACAGGAAUGAUCCUGUGGAUGAGGAUGCAGCCAGCGCAGCCGCAACAACUUUAUAUGCCAUACCAACUGUUAUAAUCUCCGAGAUUCUGAAGGAGAUGGACUGGUAACUCAAAAAUGUUGAUGGUAUGGAUGCUUUUGCUGUCAAACAAGCUUGCAAAACAGCAAAGGGACAUGCCUUGAAGAACAGAUCCAUUGUCACUAUGGUCCAGCAUGUAUUGGAUUACUAGAGCUUAUGUGUUACUGGAGAAAUUUGAUUACAUCAAAUUUUCACUAUGAAAAUGGUUAAUAAGUAGCCAAAAGAUAGGCUGUGCAAUCUUGUGCAUGAAGUGCUUUGAUGAUUCUCAUCAUCAUCAUUAUUUAAGAUAAUCAAAAGAAAUAGAGUGUCAAUGAAAUGAAACAUGCUUUUAUGCACUUGGAUGAAAAUGAAAGUAUGAAAAGAUUCAUGCAUGAUAUUCUUACUUUUGCUACUGAAGUCACUUUUUCUUUACCUAUUUUGCAUAUAUUCGAGUUACAGUAAAGUUUUCUUUACCUAUUUUGCAUAUAUUCGAGUUACAGUAAAGUUUUCUUUACCUAUUACUGAAGUCACUUUUUCUUUACCUAUUUUGCACAUUUUAUAUUUGUGGUUCUCACAUGCUUGGCUUACUACCAGAUGAUGAUCUUCAGCUGCCGAUCAAACUCGGGGCAUUGUCAAGAAAAUUAGGUAUUAUUGUUGUACUACUAGCAGUAGCGUCGAUCUGUGAAUCUGUGGCGAUAUUUGACCCGAUAUAUGAAUCUCGCCAUUCUGCUGCAUUACAGAUGUUUUCUCGAUCGUUUUCGGGGUUCAUUUUACUCCCAGAUCAAGUUCCCCCCUUUUGGUUUGAUGUGUAAGGUUUCGAAAAGUAAAUUUGGUAUCAUGGAGGGAGAAAUAAAGUUUCAAGAAAAACAAAUCGGGGCUUUCUUAAAUUCCUCGAGCUUACUAGAAUUAGCAGCUACAGAUGAUGUUUUUGGGCUCCAGUACAAGGUAGAAACAAACGGUACGAGGUUAGACGAUGUCGGUUUGUGGUACGGAAGAAAAAACAGGUGUAAAACGAAGAUGGGGUUGGAAAAACGAACUCCGUUAAUGAUUGCGGCUGUGUACGGAAGCACAAAUGUCGUGAAAUAUAUAAUCAGUUCCGGAAAAGCCGAUGUGAACAAAGUAUCUGACUCUGAUGGUGCAACUGCGCUUCACUGUGUUGCGGCUGGCAGGUCUUCUUCGUACGUCAAAACGGUGAAGUUGUUACUUGAGGCUUGUGCGGACCCGAAUUUAACAUACGCCAACAGGAACAAACCGGUGGAUUUGAUUGCUCGAGGCGUGUUCUGUUCCAUCGCCAAAAACGGGUUCUGUUGGGCCAAUUGAAAUGGGUUUGAUGAGUCCGUUAGGUGUCGGUUCAACUCCGCCGAUGUCACCUAACGGGAAUAUGUGGCAGAAUAAAUUUGUUAAUAUAACGCCACCCGCAUUACAGCUUCCGGGUAGCCGUUUGAAGACGUCUUUAAGAUCUAGAGAUUUAGAGAUGGAACUUGAGUUGCUACAAAGGCAGCAAAUGAUUGAUAAUUUAUCCACUAAUCUUUACAACAGAUUUGGGGAAAUAAAGCCCACUAAGCUGGAUGAUGUUUACGGUUCGAACCUUCUCAACAACAAAUUCGGCAGAACUCUAACCCGCUUAGAUCAAGUUUCGGGUUUGAUUCAUCGGCUGCAGUGGCACAAGCGGUGAUGAACUCGAGGUCUGGUUUGUUCGCCCCCAAAACAACGUAGCCAGAGUUUCAUUGACCGUGGCGUCGGCAACCUGAGUCUCCGGUCAAUGACUCAAUCUUCCACUUAUUCGGAAUAGGGUUCGCCUGAUGGGAAACUAGAUUGGGGUUUCACAGUGAGGAUGCUAACAAGAAGACGUCAAAAUUUAUUUCUUUGAAUAAUUCAACGUAAUUUGAUGAUCAAUUAAAUCUGAUAUCAUAGUUUUUUUUUUU